Bacillus atrophaeus 1942 is the source of this 120-nucleotide non-coding RNA. NCBI's taxonomy places the organism in Bacteria, Bacillati, Bacillota, Bacilli, Caryophanales, Bacillaceae. The record is from Rfam.
AGAUUCUUUAACACAGUCCAGAGAGGCUGAGAAGGAUAACGGAUAGGUCAGGAUGCGUGUAUCAUCAUCACGCAGCUUGCCCUUAAACCCCUCUCUGCCUUGGCAAGAGGGGUUUUUUAA